GUGCUCUUCGUGAGCUUCGUGGUUCGUCUUCCGUUGCGUGGCUCGAAGCUCGGACGGGUUACGUCAAAGCUCUCAGGCGCCCGGCCGUGCCGCCGUGCGGUCUGAGGGUCUGGCCCUGGAAUGUAGCUGAGGCCGGCAUGCCGAUCCUGCAGAAGGGAAUCCGCUUCCGACUCGUCGGCUGCCUGGGCGCGCGACUGGUGCGCGCUCUGCACGCCACGUGGCGCAUGCACGUUGUCGAUCCAGGCGGCGUCCGCGAGCGGGUGCGCAGCGCCGCACGACCGCUCAUCGUCACCUUCUGGCACCGCCACAUCCUCAUCAUGCUCGCCCACCACCGCAACUUCCCGG
RNAcentral lists this ribosomal RNA (345 nucleotides) under uncultured eukaryote. Its description in RNAcentral is "partial small subunit ribosomal RNA". The record is from RNAcentral.